AAGGGUUGCUAAUACCGCAUGUGGUGACGUGUUCGGUCACGUCAUCAAAGCCGCAAGGCGCUUCGGGAGGGGCCUGCGUCCGAUUAGCUCGUUGGUGGGGUAACGGCUCACCAAGGCGACGAUCGGUAGGUGGUCUGAGAGGACGAUCACCCAGACUGGGACUGAGACACGGCCCAGACUCCUACGGGAGGCAGCAGUCGGGAAUUUUGCUCAAUGGGCGAAAGCCUGAAGCAGCAACGCCGCGUGAGGGAUGACGGCCUUCGGGUUGUAAACCUCUUUUCUCAGGGACGAUAAUGACGGUACCUGAGGAAUAAGCCACGGCUAACUACGUGCCAGCAGCCGCGGUAAUACGUAGGUGGCGAGCGUUGUCCGGAUUUACUGGGCGUAAAGAGCGCGCAGGCGGUCGUGCAAGUCGAGUGUGAAAGCCCCCGGCUCAACUGGGGAGGGUCACUCGAUACUGCUCGACUCGAAGGCGGGAGA
This 480-nucleotide ribosomal RNA is filed under the name uncultured bacterium. Its description in RNAcentral is "bacterial SSU rRNA". It matches the Rfam family "Bacterial small subunit ribosomal RNA", at positions 155 to 655 of the family's 1533-position model. The record is from RNAcentral.